RNAcentral lists this ribosomal RNA (581 nucleotides) under uncultured bacterium. RNAcentral describes it as "partial 16S ribosomal RNA". It matches the Rfam family "Bacterial small subunit ribosomal RNA", at positions 355 to 932 of the family's 1533-position model. The record is from RNAcentral.
UGGGGAAUUUUGGACAAUGGGCGAAAGCCUGAUCCAGCAAUGCCGCGUGUGUGAAGAAGGCCUUCGGGUUGUAAAGCACUUUUGUCCGGAAAGAAAUCCUUGGCUCUAAUACAGUCGGGGGAUGACGGUACCGGAAGAAUAAGCACCGGCUAACUACGUGCCAGCAGCCGCGGUAAUACGUAGGGUGCAAGCGUUAAUCGGAAUUACUGGGCGUAAAGCGUGCGCAGGCGGUUUGCUAAGACCGAUGUGAAAUCCCCGGGCUCAACCUGGGAACUGCAUUGGUGACUGGCAGGCUAGAGUAUGGCAGAGGGGGGUAGAAUUCCACGUGUAGCAGUGAAAUGCGUAGAGAUGUGGAGGAAUACCGAUGGCGAAGGCAGCCCCCUGGGCCAAUACUGACGCUCAUGCACGAAAGCGUGGGGAGCAAAACAGGAUUAGAUACCCUGGUAGUCCACGCCCUAAAACGAUGUCAACUAGUUGUUGGGGAUUCAUUUCCUUAGUAACGUAGCUAACGCGUGAAGUUGACCGCCUGGGGAGUACGGUCGCAAGAUUAAAACUCAAAUGAAUUGACGGGGUCAUAGCUG